AUUUUACUUCCUCAUUCUCGUAUUAAAUGUCACAACUUUGUUUAAAUACGCACGUAUCUAGACGCGUUUUGGUGUGUAGAUACAUACGUAUUUAGACAAAGUUGCGACACUUAAUAUGGGACGAAGGAAGUAGUUA
Non-coding RNA from Brachypodium distachyon (stiff brome), 136 nucleotides. The record is from Rfam. Lineage: Eukaryota; Viridiplantae; Streptophyta; Magnoliopsida; Poales; Poaceae.